GACCGCGCGCAGGCGCAGCCUCUCCCUUUCCGAGGCCGGCCGCAGCCGCGUGCGUGGGACUCAUGGCUGCCGCAGCCCGCCAUGCGCUCGCUGGAAGGACCAGGGCUUUGGGUGUCGGCGUGCCCCUGGCACCUGUUAAGACGUCGGGGAGCAAACCUGCAGGCUAAUGGCGGGAUCCCCAAGCUUAAACGGGCCGGCGUGGCCGCCAAGUGAGGAGGCGGAGGUGGACGGUGCGUAGUUGUGGAGUUCCGCUCCAAGCGCGCGUUGAGCCGUGAGCUCCUUUCGGUGCAGGCCAGGUCUCUGGGGCGGAAACGGAUGCUGUGGCUGCCAGCAGUGCCCUGCUGCUGCUGCCUUUAGUCUCCCAGAGAGAAUGUCAUCAAAGGACCUUGGAGUUUGAUCUGCAGAAGUAGCUGGCAGAGUCAAGUGACUCCAGUCAUCCUGGGGAAGCAGGAGCUGCGCCUAGAAAAGCAGUUCUCACGGUGGACUUCUUGGGAAGAGUCGGUUGGGCUUUGUGUUUUGAAGCACAAAUAAACCUUACUAAACUUAA
Mesocricetus auratus (golden hamster) is the source of this 547-nucleotide long non-coding RNA. RefSeq lists it as uncharacterized. The transcript has 4 exons. Lineage: Eukaryota; Metazoa; Chordata; Mammalia; Rodentia; Cricetidae. The record is from RefSeq and is a predicted model, not a curated record.